Molecule: small RNA, 554 nt
Filed under: Cryptococcus neoformans H99
Lineage: Eukaryota; Fungi; Basidiomycota; Tremellomycetes; Tremellales; Cryptococcaceae
Description: Cryptococcus neoformans var. grubii H99 hypothetical RNA
Source: RNAcentral
AUUCGUUCCUCCAAAUUCUGUUAUCCAUUCACCAUCGACUCCCUGCAAAUCAGCAAAAUGCCCAUAUAAAGUAUGCUGUCUAUUCGCAGUUUUCUCCUGCGGCGCCUCUUUCUCACAUCAUUACCAUCAUCUUCUUCAUUCCGACGGACAAGAACAAAAAUAAAAAUGCAUCCCGACCUCUCCCGCAGCUUUAUACGUUUACCUCAAAUCACGCUCUCCCCCACACACCUACUCCAUGCCAAUGAAUCAUCGUCUCCAGCAUACACACCCCCUGUCUCCACUCAAGCUCAAAUUCCAUUAUCACUGCCUGCUUCACCAGCGCUGGAACCUGAGGAGAUGGCUCACAUUAUUACAGAGCUGCAGUCACCGGCGGUUAAUGAAGAGAGAAGAAGAGUGUUACUAAAGUUGGUAGGUAUCGAGGAUCAGUCCUGCGGAUGUGCGGAUGCGCUGGAUAGAAACCAAUCCAAUUGAGAUCUUCACUUGUUAGUGGAAUAGGAACGCAAGAACGCUUUUCUAUAGGCCCAAAAAAUGUCCAAGAUACAUGUCUGGAUGCA